AUUGAACGCUGGCGGCAUGCCUUACACAUGCAAGUCGAACGGCAGCACGGGAGCAAUCCUGGUGGCGAGUGGCGAACGGGUGAGUAAUGUAUCGGAACGUGCCCAGUCGUGGGGGAUAACGUAGCGAAAGCUACGCUAAUACCGCAUACGAUCUAUGGAUGAAAGCGGGGGACCGUAAGGCCUCGCGCGAUUGGAGCGGCCGAUAUCAGAUUAGGUAGUUGGUGGGGUAAAGGCCUACCAAGCCGACGAUCUGUAGCUGGUCUGAGAGGACGACCAGCCACACUGGGACUGAGACACGGCCCAGACUCCUACGGGAGGCAGCAGUGGGGAAUUUUGGACAAUGGGCGCAAGCCUGAUCCAGCAAUGCCGCGUGCAGGAUGAAGGCCUUCGGGUUGUAAACUGCUUUUGUACGGAGCGAAAAGGCCCUCUCUAAUACAGGGGGCUCAUGACGGUACCGUAAGAAUAAGCACCGGCUAACUACGUGCCAGCCGCCGCCGUAA
Molecule: ribosomal RNA, 500 nt
Filed under: uncultured bacterium
Lineage: Bacteria
Description: partial 16S ribosomal RNA
Rfam family: Bacterial small subunit ribosomal RNA
Source: RNAcentral